Molecule: long non-coding RNA, 1313 nt
Organism: Daphnia pulex (common water flea)
Lineage: Eukaryota; Metazoa; Arthropoda; Branchiopoda; Diplostraca; Daphniidae
Exons: 7
Source: RefSeq, a predicted model, not a curated record
UGAAAUUGCAUACACCGGUAUAUGUGGUAACAUUUUUGUAGAGAAAUUCUUAUCCCUUAAAUUACACCUUAAUAAAGGGAACUACGAUUUCCUUCUCCAUCUUGCAUCCAGUGAAUUGAGUGUAGUGGCAUUGAUUGACACACUUAAAUAAUAGUAAUACUUAAAGGACAGGAUCGGCCCUAGACGAAGUUUACACACCCGAUCCUCCUCCAACACACAGAACAACUAUUGUGAUUCGAUCGUGCUUUCUCGGAUCAGCAUUACCCGGGGUUUUGAGCUGAAAGCAAAGAUAGUCGUUCCCGCGUUCCGCUCAGUCGUCCGCUCAGUCGUUCAUCUGGGACACAGAAGAGGACAUCUGGCGGCCAGAUUUAUCUUCAGUUGUUGGGCGCAGGCUAGGUAGCCGUUUAGCCCCUACCUUCUUCAUGGUUCUUUGUUAUCUGCUUUGUUAGUUGAAACGUGGCUACAAGAGUAAGGGACGCCAUUAUCCUUCGAUUGGGUUUUCGAUUCGAUGUUAACUGUAUAUUUGAUGGCAAAUUGAUUGUUUAGAAUUUGUGAAUUGUGAUGUCUAACAGUUGGAUCGGGUUGGCGGACGGUGGGUGCUUGCAACUAUUUUGACGAAUCUUGAAGCUUAAGAUUUUGAAACCAUGCUGUCCAGUGUCCACCAAUUCGUCUACGUCCAGAAGGCACCUUUAGUAUAUGGAGCUUCACUCAUCCUAUCGUGUAGUCUACAUCUCAUUUACCUUUGCUGUUAAAGUCAACAUGUACCCUAAUUGAAGGCAAGUAGACGAAUUUUGAUGCUGAAAGACUUGGAAACCAUGCUGUCGACCACGUCGAGAAGCUGAGUAACAUUCUGCUUUUACAAUGGCACCUCUUAAUGAAAGAAACUUCAGCCAUCCAAUCUAGGGCUUCCAUCAAAUCGUGCAGGCUGCUUGGAAGUCACAUUUACCUUUGUUGUGAACAUCAUGAACCCCUACACUAUUUGAAGGUUCAUGUUUACGUAGCAGUGGUGUUGCUGUCCAAUGUGGCGUGUUGUUGCAGCCUAUGGCGGUGAAAGAUAUCUGCAUCAAGUUGCUGUUCCUUGUGCAUCCAAGGUGCUGCUUUUGUGCUACAGAAGUGACAUCCAAUAUUGUGUUUAAUUGCUAUUUGUGUCUUCGCAGUUUACCUUUAUAUAUUGAGAAGGAACAAAAAAAAAAGUAAUACGGGGAGGUUUAUGUCAAACAAAUAAUAAACAUGUCCAGGAUGGGGAAAUGAGGGGGAAAUUGGGGUGGGGUAUUUGGUUAUGAUUUACUAAAAGAAGUGAGGUAUAUUUUUAA